Non-coding RNA from Clarias gariepinus (North African catfish), 494 nucleotides. The record is from the annotation of a RefSeq genome assembly. NCBI's taxonomy places the organism in Eukaryota, Metazoa, Chordata, Actinopteri, Siluriformes, Clariidae.
GCUCUGCAUAAAAUAUCAACUUGUUGCUCAGAUAAAGCUCAAAUCAGCCAACUGAAUUACAGAACUUCCAGCCAUCACAGAGUUUGAUCAUGGGGCGAAAAGUCAUUCAGUGCAUUUUUAUACUCAUAUUAACACAAGGUUUCUGCAGUGCUGAGAUCAGACUGGACCAGUCUCCUGCUGUGGUAAAGAGACCUGGAGAAACUGUGAAGAUCUCUUGUAAAAUAAGUGGUUAUUCAAUGACAAGCAAUGACAUAGCCUGGAUACGACAGAAACCAGGGAAAGCUCUGGAAUGGAUCGGCUAUAUGAGUACAGGCAAUAAUAGAGGAACAUAUGCAGAGUCUGUGAAAGACCGGGUCACCUUUACAGAAGACGUUCCUGCAAGCACACAGUAUUUAGAGGCCAAGAGUCUGAGGACAGAGGACACUGCGGUUUAUUACUGCGCCCGAGAGACACAGUGACUGGAGCUGAGGAAGCAGCUGUACUAAAACCACACA